GGAGAACCGAAGCUUCCUGAGGCAUUGUGGUUUUCCAGCCAAUUGUGCCAAAUAUCUUAAUUAUUCGAGGCUUUGAUUAACACAGUGUAUACUAGUGACACCUGCUGGUCAAAAGAGCUGCCAAAUUUAGAGCUGAAUUUAGAGCUGCCAAAUUAUUAUAGAUGACGUCCCACACCCCGUAGUGCGUGCGCAGCGUAGCCUUUUUGUCUUCUACCAAAACAGUCAGGUGGUUGUUCGACGAAGUGAGGCUUCGGACGUCAUUGAUCACGUGCUUCUGAUAAAGUGAUAUCGGCGCACUGCUUUGAAGUACACUGCUUAGCGAUUUUGAUGCAUACCUCGGAGCUCCGGUAUCAAACGUAACACCACUACUAAUAGGCACACAAUUAGUUGACAAUGAACACUGUAUGGGCUCCCGUAUGAAAAAACACAUGAUUUCACAUGUGACAUUUCCACAUUUCACAUGAAGUUUCACAUGUGGAUUUUCACGUGAUUGCAUAACCUGUCAUGUGUGGAUAAACUUUUUCUCAUGAGAUUUCACAGGUGAUGCCCUGCAAACACAGCAGAAAGGUCAAUGUACUUCAAAUCCAGAGGUUGUGAGUUCAAAUCCUAGGUUGGGUCAUACUUUAGAGCUGAACAGUGAUAACGCAUGCAAUUGCACAUGGGACAACAUGUGAAGUUUCAAAAACACAUCUUUUCACAUGUGAAGUGUUCCAAAAACACAUGUCACAUGUGAAAUAUCAUGUGACACGCAGAGGAGUAGGUGGACCAGGCAGAGGAGUAGGUGGACCAGGCAGAGGAGUAGCUGGACCAGGCAGAGGAGUAAGUGGACCAGGCAGAGGAGUAGGUGGACCAGGCAGAGGAGUAGCUGGACCAGGCAGAGGAGUAAGUGGACCAGGCAGAGGAGUAGGUGGACCAGGCAGAG
This 922-nucleotide long non-coding RNA is filed under the name Salmo salar (Atlantic salmon). Its description in RNAcentral is "lncRNA (ENSSSAG00000103976.1)". Lineage: Eukaryota; Metazoa; Chordata; Actinopteri; Salmoniformes; Salmonidae. The record is from RNAcentral.